RNAcentral lists this unclassified non-coding RNA (232 nucleotides) under plant metagenome. Its description in RNAcentral is "partial contains small subunit ribosomal RNA, internal transcribed spacer 1, and 5.8S ribosomal RNA". The record is from RNAcentral.
UUUCCGUAGGUGAACCUGCGGAAGGAUCAUUACUGAGUGAGGGCCCUCUGGGUCCAACCUCCCACCCGUGUUUAUUAUACCUUGUUGCUUCGGUGAGCCCGCCUCACGGCCGCCGGGGGGCAUCUGCCCCCGGGCCCGCGCCCACCGAAGACACCUAGAACUCUGUAUGAAGAUUGCAGUCUGAGCAAAACUAAAUAAGUUAAAACUUUCAACAACGGAUCUCUUGGUUCCG